AAGUCGUAACAAGGUUUCCGUAGGUGAACCUGCGGAAGGAUCAUUAUCGAGUACGGGGACUUAUUGUCCCUGCCCUCCAACCCUUUGUCUACCUGACCAGAUGUUGCUUCGGCAGGCCCGCCGCCCCGCGAGAGGUGGCCGCCGGGGGUCCUUACCGGCCCCGGGUCCGCGCCUGUCGAUGGCCCUCUAUAAACUCUUGCUUAAACCGUGUCGUCUGAGUAAAACAAACAAAUAAAAACAAAACUUUCAACAACGGAUCUCUUGGUUCUG
RNAcentral lists this unclassified non-coding RNA (270 nucleotides) under Cyphellophora sp. Its description in RNAcentral is "partial internal transcribed spacer region". The stretch from base 1 to 46 matches the Rfam family "Eukaryotic small subunit ribosomal RNA", at positions 1786 to 1831 of the family's 1831-position model. The record is from RNAcentral. Lineage: Eukaryota; Fungi; Ascomycota; Eurotiomycetes; Chaetothyriales; Cyphellophoraceae.